This 481-nucleotide ribosomal RNA is filed under the name uncultured Glomus. Its description in RNAcentral is "SSU rRNA". It matches the Rfam family "Eukaryotic small subunit ribosomal RNA", at positions 569 to 1055 of the family's 1831-position model. Lineage: Eukaryota; Fungi; Glomeromycota; Glomeromycetes; Glomerales; Glomeraceae. The record is from RNAcentral.
AGCAGCCGCGGUAAUUCCAGCUCCAAUAGCGUAUAUUAAAGUUGUUGCAGUUAAAAAGCUCGUAGUUGAAUUUCGAGAUCAAAUUGUUGGUCGUGCCUCGGUACGUACUGGCAUUAUUGAUUUCUCCCUUCUGAAGAACCACGAUGUCAUUAAUUUGGUGUCGUGGGGAAUCAGGACUGUUACUUUGAAAAAAUUAGAGUGUUUAAAGCAGGCUCACGCUUGAAUACAUUAGCAUGGAAUAAUGAAAUAGGACGUUUGAUUCUAUUUUGUUGGUUUCUAGGAUCGACGUAAUGAUUAAUAGGGAUAGUUGGGGGCAUUAGUAUUCAAUUGUCAGAGGUGAAAUUCUUGGAUUUAUUGAAGACUAACUACUGCGAAAGCAUUUGCCAAGGAUGUUUUCAUUAAUCAAGAACGAAAGUUAGGGGAUCGAAGACGAUCAGAUACCGUCGUAGUCUUAACCAUAAACUAUGCCGACUAGGGAUCG